GCCUCGGUAGUCGAAAGGAUAAGAUGCUUGCCCGAUAAGCAGGAGAUCCAGGUUCGAUUCCUGACUGAGGUG
RNAcentral lists this transfer RNA (72 nucleotides) under Pogonomyrmex barbatus (red harvester ant). RNAcentral's name for it is "tRNA-Ile". It matches the Rfam family "tRNA". From Rfam's summary of the family: Transfer RNA (tRNA) molecules are approximately 80 nucleotides in length. Their secondary structure includes four short double-helical elements and three loops (D, anti-codon, and T loops). Lineage: Eukaryota; Metazoa; Arthropoda; Insecta; Hymenoptera; Formicidae. The record is from Rfam by way of RNAcentral.